Molecule: ribosomal RNA, 256 nt
Filed under: Amanita muscaria (fly agaric)
Lineage: Eukaryota; Fungi; Basidiomycota; Agaricomycetes; Agaricales; Amanitaceae
Description: partial 26S ribosomal RNA
Rfam family: Eukaryotic large subunit ribosomal RNA
Source: RNAcentral
UUGACCUCAAAUCAGGUAGGACUACCCGCUGAACUUAAGCAUAUCAAUAAGCGGAGGAAAAGAAACUAACAAGGAUUCCCUUAGUAACUGCGAGUGAAGAGGGAAGAGCUCAAAUUUAAAAUCUGGCAGUGUUUUGCUGUCCGAGUUGUAAUCUAGAGAAGUGCUGCCCGUGCUGGACCAUGUACAAGUCUCCUGGAAUGGAGCGUCACAGAGGGUGAGAAUCCCGUCUUUGACAUGGACUACCAGUGCAUUUGUG